CCUCAUCCUAUCCUUAUCCACGUCCUCAUCCUAUCCUCAUCCACGUCCUCAUCCUAUCCUCAUCCUCAUCAUUUCCUCCUCCUCAUGCUCAUCCUAAUUCUCAUCCUAACCCUCAUCCUGAUCCUCAUCCUUAUCCUAAUCUUCAUCCUCAUCCUAAUACUAAUCAUCAUCCUCAUCCCCAUCCUCAUCCUCAUCUUCAUCAUAUCCCCAUCCUCAUCCUUGUCCUAAUCCUCAUUCUAAUCCUCAACCUCAUCCUAAUCAUCAUCCUCAACCUAUCAUCAUCCUCAUCCUCAUCCUUAUCCUAGUCCUAAUCCUCAUCCUCAUCCUCAUCCUAUCCUCAUCGUCAAUCUAGUCCCAAUCCUCAUCCUCAUCCUAUCAUCACCCUCAUCCUCAUCCUCAUCCUCAUCCUAAUCUUCAUCCUCAUCCUCAUCCUAAUCCUCAUCCUCAUCCUCAUCCUA
This 458-nucleotide long non-coding RNA is filed under the name Lupinus angustifolius (narrow-leaved blue lupine). Its description in RNAcentral is "long non-coding RNA (LANG_LNC003038)". The record is from RNAcentral. Lineage: Eukaryota; Viridiplantae; Streptophyta; Magnoliopsida; Fabales; Fabaceae.